AUUGAACGCUGGCGGCAGGCCUAAUACAUGCAAGUCGAGCGAGCGGCGGACGGGCGAGUAAUGUAUGGAGAUCUGACCGAUCGAGGGGGAUAACGACUGGAAACGGUGGCUAAUACCGCAUACUAUAGGAUGAACUCAAAUUGGAUUAGCUAGUAGGUGGGGUAAAGGCUCACCUAGGAGACGAUGUCUAGCUGGUCUGAGAGGAUGAUCCGCCACACUGGGACUGAGACACGGCCAAGACUCCUACGGGAGGCAGCAGUGGGGAAUAUUGCACAAUGGGCGCAAGCCUGAUGCAGCCAUGCCGCGUGUAUGAAGAAGGCCUUAGGAUUGUAAAGUACUUUCAGCAGGGAAGCGUUACCCGCAGAGGAAGCAACGGCUAACUCCGUGCCAGCAGCCGCGGUAAUUC
This 406-nucleotide ribosomal RNA is filed under the name uncultured bacterium. RNAcentral describes it as "partial 16S ribosomal RNA". It matches the Rfam family "Bacterial small subunit ribosomal RNA", at positions 30 to 526 of the family's 1533-position model. The record is from RNAcentral.